This 434-nucleotide ribosomal RNA is filed under the name uncultured bacterium. RNAcentral describes it as "partial 16S ribosomal RNA". It matches the Rfam family "Bacterial small subunit ribosomal RNA", at positions 29 to 507 of the family's 1533-position model. The record is from RNAcentral.
AGCGAACGCUGGCGGCAGGCCUAACACAUGCAAGUCGAACGAACCUUUCGGGGUUAGUGGCGGACGGGUGAGUAACACGUGGGAACGUGCCUUUAGGUUCGGAAUAACUCAGGGAAACUUGUGCUAAUACCGAAUGUGCCCUUCGGGGGAAAGAUUUAUCGCCUUUAGAGCGGCCCGCGUCUGAUUAGCUAGUUGGUUGAGGUAAUGGCUCACCAAGGCGACGAUCAGUAGCUGGUCUGAGAGGAUGAUCAGCCACAUUGGGACUGAGACACGGCCCAAACUCCUACGGGAGGCAGCAGUGGGGAAUCUUGCGCAAUGGGCGAGAGCCUGACGCAGCCAUGCCGCGUGAAUGAUGAAGGUCUUAGGAUUGUAAAAUUCUUUCACCGGGGACGAUAAUGACGGUACCCGGAGAAGAAGCCCCGGCUAACUUCGUG